This 262-nucleotide ribosomal RNA is filed under the name uncultured bacterium. RNAcentral's name for it is "partial 16S ribosomal RNA". It matches the Rfam family "Bacterial small subunit ribosomal RNA", at positions 524 to 776 of the family's 1533-position model. The record is from RNAcentral.
CACGUAGGGUGGCGAGCGUUGUCCGGAAUUUAUUGGGCGUAAAGAGCUCGUAGGCGGUGUGUCGCGUCGGCCGUGAAAACCUGCAGCUUAACUGUGGGCUUGCGGUCGAUACGGGCAUCACUGGAGUUCGGCAGGGGAGACUGGAAUUCCUGGUGUAGCGGUGAAAUGCGCAGAUAUCAGGAGGAACACCGGUGGCGGAAGGCGGGGUCUCUGGGCCGAUACUGACGCUGGAGGAGCGAAAGACCGGUGGGGAGCGAACAGG